Molecule: non-coding RNA, 4226 nt
Organism: Callithrix jacchus (white-tufted-ear marmoset)
Lineage: Eukaryota; Metazoa; Chordata; Mammalia; Primates; Cebidae
Source: RefSeq, a predicted model, not a curated record
AAGUCCGCCGAGCCACUGCGGCGCACAGGCGUAAGCAGCCCCUGGAGAGGGGCGGGGCGGGAGACGCGGAGAGCGCGGGGAAUAGAGCCGAUAGCUAGUGGGGCCAGAAGCGCUCUUUCGUAACAGAAAGAGGCGGGGCGCGCUGCGCGCCAGAGGAGUGGGCGAGACAGUGCAGGCUGCAGCUGCGGAGCAGGGAGAGACCACUUACAAAUGAAAACGCAAGGGCAGGACGAGUGGAGAGGCUGGACCUGCUACCUAUGCUUGAGGGGCGGAGCCUAGCGCGCCUUCGCGAGGGGGGAGGUGCUGCCCCUUCCCUCUGUCCCCUUCCCCCCAAGCGACACCAACUGGGCACUCGAACUAUAGACCCAGUAGCCCCACAGAGCUGCGGAACUCUUGGUGGGUGAAGCCGACCUAAAACAUUGAAGAUGCCCUGGAUUGCGAGUCCCGGAAGCUCCGGACAUUGAGUCCCUGACCAGCCUCUUGCCCCGCGGGCGCCCACUGCAUACUGACCGGCCUUGAUCUCGGAUGCGGUGUCCUCCUUCCCUUCAUUGAUUUCCAUGGAGCUGCUGCGGCGCAGCUUCCGGCUGGCCUUGUCCCCCUCGUCCAACGAGCGGCGCCCCUGGCCGUACCAGCCGCGGGUGUGGCUGAUGCUGCGGCCCUCCGCGUCAAAGUUCCCGCAGACGUCGGACAGCGGCGUGUUCAGCUCGGACUGCGACAGCGUGGCCGUGGUCCACAGGUCCCGAAUGUCGCUGUACAGGCUCUCCUUGCUCUCCUUGUCCGAGCCAUGGCGGUCCGAAGGCUUGAGCGACACCUGUGGGCCACAUACAACGAGAGAAGCCAGGGGUCGCGGGUGGCUGGGGCGGGAAGGAAGGGCGGGCUGGGGGCGGGGAUCUGAGCCGGGCCCGGGCUGGGGCCCCGUCGAGCGUGAGGUUGGGUGGGGGCUGCGGGAAGCCCAGGCUGAGUAAGAAAUCGCGCCACAGCCCGUGUCGGACCAGGAGUGGGUUGGGAGCUGACAAGGUAAGGGGCACGGGGAGAGGUCUUACUUUCGAAGGCUUUUCCUCCAUGGUUCUGCCCCUACGGACCCAGACGCCACAGGCCUCGGGACGAGGAGGAGGAGGGGUCAACGUUCCAGAAACAGGGCGGGGCAGGGUCUCUCGCGCCAGGAGAGUUCAAACGACAGCCCUCCACGCGAGAGGCCGUUUUCUCUCUCCUGCCUCUAUCCCGCCCCGCACCCCGCACGCCCAGUGUGUGUGCGGAGGCUGGAGACGCGAGGCCCAUCCCGGCUGAUCCCCACGCGGGACCCUACCCAGCCGCCUCCAUGCAGUGACGCAGGCCUGAGCCCAGUCGAGAGGGCCGAGACCUGACAGACCUGGGUGCCUGGGACCCUCGGCCUGGGGGUCACGGGAGGCCAGAGGUGCCCCCACUGUGUGGCCCGAGGAAAGCACUCCCACACCCACUCGCGUCCGGGAGCGCUCACGCCCGCAGCGGUGCAGACCGUUUUCAUUUAUUGAUGCAGGCUUUGAGGCACAGUCGUGAGGUGCUGUGAGGGACAUGCCCGCCCAGGGCAGCGACACAGAAAGCCUUGGGGGAUCUGGAGAUGGAUGGAAGUGAGGAAAGGGCCGGGCCCGGGGGGCGGCAGAAAGGCAAACGUCGCCCCUUCCCCAGGCUUGAGUCCCAUGGAAAGAGAGCUCUUUGGUCAAACAAGCCAAGCAUGCCGGGGAGCAGGAACGAAGCCCUUGCGAGGCCCGGGCCGGGGAUCCUGCCCCUACACCGGCACGUCUUUGUCUCGGGGACGCCCGGGGCCACGGGGCCGCACGGGCUUCCUGGGGGGAUUGGGGCGGCGGCGACCCCGAGGCGCGCGGGGCAGGGGGCAGCCGCGCUCGCUCUGAGUGUCCGAGGACUCAUCGAUGAAGGCCAGGUUCUCGCUGGGAUAAUCCAGGGCCGAGGCUGUGGGCGGCGAAGGGGGCUGAGCCUUCUCUGGGGGCGAAGGGGAUCGGGGCCUGACCAGCGGCUGCGCUGGACAGGGCGGUGGAGGCAGCAGUGGCCGCUCCUUCUCCAGCGGAGGGGCUGCGGGCCCAGCUCGCUGGGUCACACGCGCCGUCACCGUGCCAGUCCAGCUGGCAGCCUGCGCCGUGAGGCCACCCAUCUGCACAGAGAGGAAGCAGCCCUCGACUGGAGCUCUUAGACUAUCCUCCGAGCCCCCCGGGAACCUGCCCCUUCACCAGCAGGGAUCAAGCCCCAACCCUCCUUUCUGCCUGGCUCUCCAGCCUAGGCAAAAUCCAAAUCGCCCAGCUAAAUAUGAAUUUCACAGAAACAAAAUUUUAGCUGAAUAUAUCUCAUGCAAUUCUUGGGACAUGCUUUAUAUUGAAAUUGCAUUAUUUAUUUGAAACUCAAAUUUAACUGAGCUUAUUUAUUUAUUUGGUGAGACCAGGGCUCACUCUGUCCCCCAGGCUGGAGUGCAGUGGUGCAAUCAUGACUCACUGCAGCUGUGACCGCCCCUGGCUCAAGUGAUCCUCUCACCUCAGCCUCCUGAGUAGCUGGGACUACAGGAACACACCACCACUCCAGGCUAAUUUUUUUUUAUUUUCUAGAGGCAGGAUCUCACCCUGUUGCCCUGUCUGGCUUUCUGCAUUUUUUAUUUGCUAAAUCUGGCAAUCCUACCCAUGAGGGCAGAGGUGAAGUUACCCACACAUGUAUACCCCUGUGUUCCCUUCAGGGCACACACAGAGGCUCCCUCGGCCCCUGCCUCAGGGGCCCAAGCCCUGGAAGGAAGACAGCCUGCACGACCCCCUGCUAGGGUACAGCACAUUUGCACCACAGUGUGUAGGCGCAGUGCCAACCCAGGGGCGCCUACCUCUGCCCGAGUGCGGCGGGACACUACUCGCAGCCAGUUCCCGAUGGUGGUGAGCACUGAGGCGAAGUAAGCCAGGCCGAGCAGGAUCCAGAACCACACCAGUGGCUGGUAGGCUGGAGAGUCCUGCCUGGGGUCCGCGCCUGGGAUACCACCAGUGAAGGCGGAAAGACUUGGACUUGGAAGAAGGCUGUGAACCCCGGUUCACUGCCCCCUCCCCAGCUCCUGGAGAGGACCUCCCCUCCCUAGGUCAAUGGGGAUGUACUUAAGUGUGUAAGUGCAGUGACUCCGAAAUCAGAGAAAGCAACAGAGGUGCUUGCCUGACUGUACCCCCGAAGGCUGCAGCCCAACACUUGCUUGAGUCACUGGUUGGAGGCCGACCAGAAGUGCCUCGGGGAACCCUGAAGCGCCCCACUUCUCCCCACAAGGUAAGCAUGCAUCAUGGGGGGAAGGGGUGCCUGACCUGCCAUCCCUGGUGGCAUGGAUCCUGGAACCCUCUGAAAUCAUCUGCAUACGUUCAUAUGCACUCUUUUCCAGGGGGAGGGGGUGAGUUCACUAUGUUCUUGGCUUUUCUAAGGUGCAUGACUCCAAAAAUGUAUGGAGACCGGUGUAAGUAGAGUUGCCAGAUUUAGCAAACAAAAAUAUUGCACGGAUGGACUUGUAUUAAAAAGGUAAUUGUGGGCCAGGCUCAGUGACUCAGGCCUUCAAUCCCAGCAUUCUGGGAGGCCGAGGUGGGUGGAUCACUUGAGGUCAGGAGUUCGAGACCAGCCUGGCCAACAUGGUGAAACCCCGUCUCUACUAAAAAUACAAAAAUUAGCCAGGCGUGGUGAUGCAUGCCUGUAAUUUCAGCUGCUCAGGAGGCUGAGGUAGGAGAAUCUCUUGAAUCUGGGAGGGAGACGUUGCUGUGAGCUGAGAGUAAGCGACUGCACUCCAAGCUGGGCAACACAGGGAGACUCCAUCUCAAAAAAAAUAAAAAGGCAUCUGUGGUCUAACUGUAAUUCACAUUUAAAUAAUAGUCCUGGAUCUUAUGUGGCAAUCUACACCGGUGAGACCUGUGCAAAUGUAACAUUCGCUAUGGCCAUUCACUCAUUCAUUCAUUCAUUUCCCCCUUAUCCCACCUCCAUCACACUCUGAAGGAGACAUCGUACACAGUCCUAUGCCAGGCCCUCCAGGGAAAACAAAUGACCCCACAACUGCCCUAUUGAAAACACAGAGACCUGGACCCCAGCCUCUGCCCCACAGCCUCCCGCUGCAUCCCGACCUCAGGGAUACUGGUCUGAAAGCAGCACCAGCACAGGGUCUCACUGGCACGCAGCCAGUGCCAGGGGUGAUGGGUGACAGCUGAAGGGGCUGUGGCUCACCCACGCACCUUGAU